AGUGAACGCUGGCGGCAGGCCUAACACAUGCAAGUCGAACGGCAGCACAGUAAGAGCUUGCUCUUACGGGUGGCGAGUGGCGGACGGUUGAGGAAUACAUCGGAAUCUACUUUUUCUUGGGUGAUAACGUAGGGACACUUACGCUAAUACCGCAUACGACCUACGGGUGAAAGCAGGGGAUCUUCGGACCUUGCGCGAUCGAAUGAGCCGAUGUCGGAUUAGCUAGUUGGCGGGGUAAAGGCCCACCAAGGCGACGAUCCGUAGCUGGUCUGAGAGGAUGAUCAGCCACACUGGAACUGAGACACGGUCCAGACUCCUACGGGAGGCAGCAGUGGGGAAUAUUGGACAAUGGGCGCAAGCCUGAUCCAGCCAUGCCGCGUGGGUGAAGAAGGCCUUCGGGUUGUAAAGCCCUUUUGUUGGGAAAGAAAAGCAGCAGGUUAAUACCCCGCUGUUCUGACGGUACCCAAAGAAUAAGCACCGGCUAACUUCGUG
This 492-nucleotide ribosomal RNA is filed under the name uncultured bacterium. RNAcentral describes it as "partial 16S ribosomal RNA". It matches the Rfam family "Bacterial small subunit ribosomal RNA", at positions 29 to 507 of the family's 1533-position model. The record is from RNAcentral.